AUUGAACGCUGGCGGCAUGCCUUACACAUGCAAGUCGAACGGCAGCACGGGAGCAAUCCUGGUGGCGAGUGGCGAACGGGUGAGUAAUAUAUCGGAACGUGCCCAGUCGUGGGGAUAACGUAGCGAAGCUACGCUAAUACCGCAUACGAUCUAUGGAUGAAAGCGGGGGAUCGCAAGACCUCGCGCGAUUGGAGCGGCCGAUAUCAGAUUAGGUAGUUGGUGAGGUAAAGGCUCACCAAGCCGACGAUCUGUAGCUGGUCUGAGAGGACGACCAGCCACACUGGGACUGAGACACGGCCCAGACUCCUACGGGAGGCAGCAGUGGGGAAUUUUGGACAAUGGGCGCAAGCCUGAUCCAGCAAUGCCGCGUGCAGGAUGAAGGCCUUCGGUUGUAAC
RNAcentral lists this ribosomal RNA (396 nucleotides) under uncultured bacterium. RNAcentral's name for it is "bacterial SSU rRNA". It matches the Rfam family "Bacterial small subunit ribosomal RNA", at positions 30 to 429 of the family's 1533-position model. The record is from RNAcentral.